CAAAGAGUGGCUCAUUUCCUUUCAUACAUUUUCUUAUUUUCCCCUCCGUCAUCCUGAUUUAUUUAGCAAAUAUUGGACAGCCUGGAUUUUAUUGUGUCUGAAGUUAUUUGGUUAACAGACAGCUUCAGACCAGAGUAUUCGCCUUACAAAAAUAACACACACCUGUAUUUAUAUUCAGACUAAGAAUGGGACAUCAGCGAUAACAAGUUCUGUAGACCUUACCCCAGCAAAGUCUCCAUUAGAAACAUUCAAAGAUUUUACUGAGGAAUCCGCUGAUACAGUUCCUUAUUCCUUUAACAAUAUUCUGGAUGGAGCUGACCUUGAAACCAACGCAAUGCUGUGGAUGCAUUAUCGGUAUUAUCAAUGCUAUCAGCAUUAUCAGCAGAUGUCCCCAAGACACCGAAAUCUGACUUAGAACCAAAAGAUUGAGACAGCUGACAGGGAAAGAUUGAAGGCAAACGAGGUCCAGGCAGAAGAAGAACAUCAUGGCUUCAAAACCUAAGGGACUGGUUUGGACAAAACACAGCAGCAUUUUUUCAUGUGGCUGUUGACAAAAAUAGGAUUGCCAACAUGAUCGCCAACGUCCAAUGAUGGAUAUGGUACAAGAAGAAGAAGAAAAAGAAUGUUGUCUAUUCUGAAGAGCAAUAUCUCUCCAAGAAAGUGGGCAGAAUAUUCUAUUAUUCCUCGAUCCUAAAGUCAUUUAAAAGUAGAAUUAGGAAUAGUGACAAAGGGUAUCUAUAUCAAAAAUUCACACUCUAUAACCUAUCUUUCUACUACUCCAGGCUUUAGGAUAUGAACUCAGAAUUUCUCCAUGGUUGUUUCUGACCAGACAUUUUUAUCUAAUUUCUUUCAUGCUGACUUUGUCUGUUGUUAACCUAGGCAACUUGUUCUACCUCAGAGUAAAUACUAUUCCACUUAAAAUAUAU
Molecule: long non-coding RNA, 926 nt
Organism: Pantherophis guttatus
Lineage: Eukaryota; Metazoa; Chordata; Lepidosauria; Squamata; Colubridae
Source: RefSeq, a predicted model, not a curated record